Molecule: ribosomal RNA, 460 nt
Filed under: uncultured bacterium
Lineage: Bacteria
Description: partial 16S ribosomal RNA
Rfam family: Bacterial small subunit ribosomal RNA
Source: RNAcentral
CCUACGGGGGGCAGCAGUGAGGAAUAUUGGUCAAUGGGCGAGAGCCUGAACCAGCCAAGUCGCGUGAAGGAUGAAGGAUCUAUGGUUUGUAAACUUCUUUUAUAUGGGAAUAAAGUGAGGAACGUGUUCCUUUUUGUAUGUACCAUAUGAAUAAGCAUCGGCUAACUCCGGGCCAGCAGCCGCGGUAAUACGGAGGAUGCGAGCGUUAUCCGGAUUUAUUGGGUUUAAAGGGUGCGUAGGUGGUUAAUUAAGUCAGCGGUGAAAGUUUGUGGCUCAACCAUAAAAUUGCCGUUGAAACUGGUUGACUUGAGUAUAUUUGAGGUAGGCGGAAUGCGUGGUGUAGCGGUGAAAUGCAUAGAUAUCACGCAGAACUACGAUUGCGAAGGCAGCUUACUAAACUAUAACUGACACUGAAGCACGAAAGCGUGGGGAGCAAACAGGAUUAGAUACCCCGGUAGUC